GGUUAGUGCAGUGAAUAAGGUAGUAAGCAAGCUGAAAGAUUUAUCUGAUCUUGCCGAUGAGUCGUCAUUGACCUAGUGUGACUCUGCCGAUAUAGAUUAGGCGCACUAACC
This 111-nucleotide non-coding RNA is filed under the name unclassified sequences. The record is from Rfam.